GCCUUACAUGGCCCCAGUGAUCUGAUUUAAAAUACACCAAAAUGCACUCACAGAAAAAAAAUGAUUCAGGCUGAAAGAGAAACUUUUGUGAUUAUAGCAAAUGCCCUCAAGCAAAAAAAAAAAAGAAAAAAAGUUAAAAAGGUUUAUAAAUGGAAAAGCAAGAAAAAGAAAAAAAGAUGAAUAAAGUCAUACUAAGGGAAGAAAGAUUCUUCAAGGAAGUGCAGUAUAUGUUGGAAACAUGUUAGAGAUUUAAACUAGAAACAAUACUAAGUACACUGAAAGCCGCAGGAGUCAUCAUAGACUUUUGUUUUGCGAAGGAUAUUAAUGGACAUGGAUUCAAAUCUUCACACCAACACAGACUCCUUUUCCAGCAUCCAUGAAAGAACAAGGAAUCCAUGAACCCCAGGAGCAGUCCUCAACCAAAGAAAACUUCUUUCCUCAGGUGUUAUGGAUCUGAAGAAUGUAGCAAGAGUCCUCAGUGGGAUAAGA
This 489-nucleotide long non-coding RNA is filed under the name Homo sapiens (human). RNAcentral's name for it is "HSALNT0334739". Lineage: Eukaryota; Metazoa; Chordata; Mammalia; Primates; Hominidae. The record is from RNAcentral.